This 1779-nucleotide long non-coding RNA is filed under the name Homo sapiens (human). Its description in RNAcentral is "HSALNT0389424". The record is from RNAcentral. Lineage: Eukaryota; Metazoa; Chordata; Mammalia; Primates; Hominidae.
GUGAGUCUACACCCCUCUGGGCUACCACCCCUCACCUCAUGCUGUCUCCUGAAAAGGACUCUUCCCCUGGACUGAAACAGGCUUGGCACAUCACCUACAGGUAUCUGGGCAACCAGAUGAAUAAAUGAGGCUCCAGAGAUGAAGUAACAUACUCAAGGCAAGACUUUGUAAAGAAGCCCCUAAAAUGAUAGCAAACUCUGCAGGGGCUCAGGCCUUGAAGACACCAGGUGCAGGGAGAUGAGUACUUUGAAGAAGAAAGAAGCCAAGCCCAAGUACAGUUAGCCAUAGAACUGAGCUCCAUGCCUAUGCACUCUGCCUCUAGACUGAUGUAGGGCAAGUGAGCCCCCAAAUUGGGACUUAGACCGGAAGAGUUCUUGGCUUCACCCAGGAAAUAAUUCAAGGGUGAGUCGAUGGUUUAGACAGCAGCUUUUAUUGAAGUGGCAGUGUAUGGCAGCAACAGUAGUUUCCAUGCCUUCUCCAUGAGAAGAACAUCCCUGGGCUAGCUCACUGGUCCCACGAGGAAGGUGUGAGACGUUUGGAGCAGAGUUAAAGUCCGCCAGCCAACACUACCCUAAAUCAGCCAUCUCCUACUCUGCUCACAGAUGUGUAGGUAAGCCCAGUCAACUCUAGCAAUGCCAGUCAAACAAGUUCAGCAUAAAUUAGUGUCCCUCAGGCAACCACAGAUCUGUGAGUAUAAGUAACCAUGUCUUAAGCCACUGAGUUUGGGGUUGGUUUGUUAUAUAGCAUUAUUGUAGCCAUGGUUAACUUAUGCGAGUAACAAUCCAGGAACUGGUCCCCAAUUAAUGGAGAAAAUACAACAAAGGGAAUUAUCAAAGAAAUAAUUCAAGGCAGUUUCCUAGCACUAAAAAAUAUGAACCUUCAGAUUAAAGGGCCUACCAAGUGGUCAAAACAAGGUAAAUCCUCUUCAAAACAGAUUAUUGUAAAUUUUCAGAACAUAUAGACACAGAUAUGAUUCUAAAAGCUUCUAGAAGGGAAAGUAACAGGUUUCAUACAAAGGACUAUGAAUCAGAUGGUUGUAGGACUUGUUGAGUGCAACGCUGGAUACUGGGCAACAGUGAAACCCUGCCUUCUAAAUUCUUGGGGCAAACUAUUCUCAAUAUAGAACUCUAUAGCUAAACACAUGAUUAAAACAUAAGUUGAGACUUUAAAUAUGUUCUAGAUGUGUAAGGAUUCAGAGAAUUUACUUUGCAGAGUACCAGAGGAUAUGUUUCAGCAAAAAUUAGAAGUAAACCAAGAAUAUAGAAUCCAGGGGAUUCAACACGGGAGAGUAGCAGAGGAAAUUCCCAGGACGUGAGCUUCGCAGCAGGCAUAAAGAGUAACAGGCCAGGUUGAAAGAAGAAAUCCAGAGCCCCAGGAGGGAAGACUCCAGGGAAAGAGGAGAGACUGAUAGAUGCUAUGAUGUAAGACAAAACUUAUGAAAAUAAUCUUAAUAAUAAUGGUAUGGCAGAUAUAAUGCAACAUUUGGAAACAUUUAAGAAAACGAUGCAACUGAAAAUAUGGAGCAAUUAUUACCUCUGGGUAUAUUUAUCAGGAUAGUUGAUGCUAGAUGUCGCAAUAGAUAUAAAUGUUUAUUUCCCUUUGUAUCACAAUCUAAUAAGGAGGCAGUCCUUCAUUUUGUGUUUGUACAGCAUGGAGCCCACAACAUGUACAAGCUCCUUGCUAGGGAAGAGAAAGAUGGAAGAGCCACACGGGCUCUUAGCUGCCUCAACUCAAAAAGAUCAUUCUAGUCACAUGGCCCUAACCUAACUAGAAGGGAAG